RNAcentral lists this ribosomal RNA (929 nucleotides) under Coniothyrium aleuritis. Its description in RNAcentral is "eukaryotic LSU rRNA". The stretch from base 144 to 297 matches the Rfam family "5.8S ribosomal RNA". Lineage: Eukaryota; Fungi; Ascomycota; Dothideomycetes; Pleosporales; Coniothyriaceae. The record is from RNAcentral.
ACUAAAGCUUGUAGACUUCGGUCUGCUACCUCUUACCCAUGUCUUUUGAGUACCUUCGUUUCCUCGGCGGGUCCGCCCGCCGAUUGGACAACAUUCAAACCCUUUGCAGUUGCAAUCAGCGUCUGAAAAAACAUAAUAGUUACAACUUUCAACAACGGAUCUCUUGGUUCUGGCAUCGAUGAAGAACGCAGCGAAAUGCGAUAAGUAGUGUGAAUUGCAGAAUUCAGUGAAUCAUCGAAUCUUUGAACGCACAUUGCGCCCCUUGGUAUUCCAUGGGGCAUGCCUGUUCGAGCGUCAUUUGUACCUUCAAGCUCUGCUUGGUGUUGGGUGUUUUGUCUCGCCUCUGCGUGUAGACUCGCCUUAAAACAAUUGGCAGCCGGCGUAUUGAUUUCGGAGCGCAGUACAUCUCGCGCUUUGCACUCAUAACGGCGACGUCCAAAAGUACAUUUUUACACUCUUGACCUCGGAUCAGGUAGGGAUACCCGCUGAACUUAAGCAUAUCAAAAACCGGGGGAAGGGGAUCAUUACCUAGAGUUUUGUAGACUUGGUCUGCUACCUCUUACCCAUGUCUUUUGAGUACCUUCGUUUCCUCGGCGGGUCCGCCCGCGAUUGGACAACAUUCAAACCUUUGCAGUUGCAAUCAGCUCGGAAAAAAACAUAAAUAGUUUACAACUUUCACGAGGGAAUUCUGUGGUUGUCUGCCAUCAAUGAAGACACGCAGCGAAAAUGGCGAUAAGUAGUGUGAAAUUGCGAAAUCGCUGGAUCAUCAAAUCUUUGAACGCACAUUGCGCCCUCUGGUAUUCAUGGGGCAUGCUGUUGAGGUCAUUGUACUUCAGCUCUGCUUGAUGUGGUGUUUGUCUCGCUCUGCUGUAGACUCCUAAACAUGGCAGCGGCGUAUGAUUCGAGCCAUACAUCUCGCUUGCCUCAGA